CAAUGAUUUUCACUUUCCAGUGUUAGAUAUAGAAUAACUAGAUAAUUCUACAAAUCCAUCAAGUAGAGAGGGCAAUCUGGCUCUCUUAUUUCUAUACCAAUUUCCUGUAAAUGGUACCUUUACAGGAAUAGAGGGGCCAUAGUUUCACUUUCAAUAUGACUCUGUUUUAUGACUGUCCCAUCUCAUCGAGGAUAUAAUGUUGAAGGCCGACCUGGAUGCUGCAGGCUGUUGUAUUCAAGAAGCAGAAUCCUCCAUUUAUAGUCAUUAGGAAAAUGGCAAUCUUUGUGGUCAAUAUGCAUGUAAAUGUGUUUUUUUUUUCCAGAACACAAUUAAGGUACCAAGACUUGCUUCUACAGUGCCUUCAGAAAUAUUUAAUUCAUACUCCAUGACUUAUUCCACAUUUUGUUGUGUCACAGCUUGAAUUUAAAAUGGUUUAAAUCGUUGUUUUUUUUACUCAUCUACAGACAAUUCCCCAUAAUGACAAAGUGAAAACAUGUUUUUAUCCAGAAGUUUCCUGGGGAAACCAUUAUGGGUGGCAUUUCCUGCGGAUGUAGCGGUAUUGAGUUGACCAGCUGUAUUUUUGGUUUUAGAAGCUAGCCAACUGGGAUAAGGAAUAAUAAAAUAUUCACUCGCUAGAUGUUGAAAUUGGAGUCCUUCGACCAUAAACAUAAAACUAAAUCAGAAUGUUCCUGUCACGAGAUGGUACAGUUUCCAUUGCCUCCCAAAUGACGACAAAGUGAAAAGAAAUUGUCUCAAAAACUAAAAAAACAAAACAAUCCUGGUUUCGCUUUGUUGAUAAAACGCCAACGCACUAUAACCCAUACACAACACUCUCUGGGUUAUGAGACGCCGCCUCAGCAGGAGGGUUGACAUACAUGUCACAAGAUUAGGUCUUUACCAAAUAAUUUCAUGAACUAAUCAUCUAUAUUCAUAUUCAACUAAUCAUCAACUGCAGAUGAGUCUGGUGUGGUAGAGGUUUCUGAGGAGCCAGGUUCUAUUUCAAAGACCUUCCAUGAUACCCAAACACAGUGGUCAGACCCAGCAAUGGAGUACCACACCUACUCCAAAGGACCUAUUAUCACAUGUGGCAUGACAACUGCACCAGCCCCUGAGAGGUCACUAUCUGUUGCAGAUGUUACAUUGAAAGAUGAUGCAGACUGUCUGCUGUACACAGGGAUUCCACUACUAGAAUUCAACACUCUUGUGUCUUGCUUCCAAGGUUUUGCCCCCACAUCAUCAGCAAUGCCAGUUGUAGACCAAAUUCUGUUGACCCUAAUGAAACUUAGACAGAACUUUGUAAUUGCUGAUUUAGCAAGACACUUCAAAAGGUCACCUGGUCAGGUCAGUAAAACAUUGAAAUUCUGGAUAGAUGUUAUUGCUGAGCACACCAAGGAUCUCAUUCCAUGGCUGCCUCGUGAGACAAUAAAGGCUGCCAUGCCACAGGUUUUUCAGGAUCAUUUUUCAAACACAACUUGUGUUAUUGACUGCACAGAAAGUGUUUUGCAGAAGACUAAAAUCUGGACUCAAGACCUGAAUUUUACAGUCACUAAUAUGCCAGUAAUACUGUAAAAUAUCUAGUUGCAACUGCUCCAUCAGGAAUGGCUGUGUUAAUUUCAGAGGCUUAUGGUGGGAAAUGUAGCGAUUGGUUCAUAACACAGAACUCAGGGUUUCUCGACCAUUUGCGUGCUGGAGAUGAGGUGAUGAUGGUCCGUGGCUUCACAAUUAGGGACUUGCUAGAGGAACGGAAUGUACACUUGGUCUUACCAGCAUUUACACGCAAGAAAUGCCAGUUGACAAAUUAGCAGGUCACUCGUACACAACGCAUUGCUAAUGUCCGUAUUCAUGUGGAACGGCAAUAAGGCGUCUUAAGGGUGUACAAGAUUCUCUCACAAACUGUGCCAAUUAGUUUGGUCCCUAAAAUUGACAACAUACUUAAAAUGUGUGCAGCUCUUGUAAAUCUGAGAGGAGAGCUUAUUUCUAGCAAAUAGAGACUAUGUCUAACACAAUCAACAUGACUAACAUGCACUGAUCGUUUAUGUAUUACAAAAAUGUACAUCACUUUAUUCCUGUUAAUGAAUUACAAAACAUUGUCAGCAUUUGUAACAUUAUUUUAUUCCUACUGUUAGCUCUAUUUGUUUUAAAUCAUUGUUUUGUCAGCUCACACAACUGCCUGUACCAACUUGCCUAUUUUAACUGGUUCUGUCUAAUGAACAUUGACUUUGUCCUAUGAAAAAUAAACUGGUGACAUCAUGACACUGUGUUUGUGUAAGUAUAUCUCUUAAUAAAUUGAUUAUCUAA
Oncorhynchus nerka (sockeye salmon) is the source of this 2298-nucleotide long non-coding RNA. RefSeq lists it as uncharacterized. The transcript has 2 exons. The record is from RefSeq and is a predicted model, not a curated record. NCBI's taxonomy places the organism in Eukaryota, Metazoa, Chordata, Actinopteri, Salmoniformes, Salmonidae.